This 568-nucleotide ribosomal RNA is filed under the name Trigonopterus sp. 236 AR-2020. RNAcentral's name for it is "partial large subunit ribosomal RNA". It matches the Rfam family "Bacterial large subunit ribosomal RNA", at positions 1802 to 2644 of the family's 2925-position model. The record is from RNAcentral. Lineage: Eukaryota; Metazoa; Arthropoda; Insecta; Coleoptera; Curculionidae.
GUUAUUAAAAACAUGUCUUGUUGAUUAUAAUUUCAAGUCUGACCUGCUCAAUGAUACAAUUAAAUGGCCGCGGUAUAUUGACCGUGCAAAGGUAGCAUAAUCAUUAGUUUUUUUAUUGAAAGCUGGAAUGAAUGGUUUGAUGAAAAAAUUUCUGUCUCUGUAAAAGUUUUUUAGAAUUUUAUUUUUAAGUGAAAAUGCUUAAAUAUUUAUAGAAGACGAGAAGACCCUAUAGAGUUUUAUAUUUAAUUUAAAGUUUAAUUUAAAAGAAUAAAAAAUUAAUUUUAUUUAAAGUAUUUUGUUGGGGUGAUGGGAAAAUUAGGAAAACUUUUCUUUAUUUAAACAUUUAUUUGUGAAUUUAUGAUCCUUAUUUAAAGAUUAUAAGAUAAAAUUACCUUAGGGAUAACAGCGUAAUCUUUUUUAGAGUUCUUAUCGAAAAAGGGGGUUGCGACCUCGAUGUUGGAUUAAAAUUUUUAAUUGGUGAAGGAGCUAAUAUAAAAAGUCUGUUCGACUUUUAAAUUUUUACAUGAUCUGAGUUUAGACCGGUGUGAGCCAGGUCGGUUUCUAUCUA